Molecule: long non-coding RNA, 2091 nt
Filed under: Olea europaea subsp. europaea
Lineage: Eukaryota; Viridiplantae; Streptophyta; Magnoliopsida; Lamiales; Oleaceae
Source: RNAcentral
CCCAAAUCCAGUUUCAUUUUGCAGUCACUUAUUUCCUUUACCCAAUCACUUACUCUUCAUUAAGUGGGAAGAAAGAAGCUAAUUUGCAAAUGCUGUUAAUUGAAUGGGUCAUUAAUUGCUCAAAUGGUUAGUGGAAAUUUUGAAUUUUUUUUUUCCUGAUCGCCACCAGAUGGACAUAAUUUCCCAACUACAAGAACAUUUGAAUACGAUGGCAUCACUUGCAUUCAAUACCUUUGGGACACUUCAAAGGGAUGCCCCUCCUGUUCGUCUGUCACCUAAUUAUCCAGAGCCUCCUAUUACUAAGGCCGCAGAAGAUGAUGCUGCUGAUCUUGCAGAGCAACCCAAACUCAUGAGUGCCGACUUAGUGAAAGCUGCCAAGCAGGUUUGUUGAUUAGUCCUAAUUUGUGUGUGUGUGUGUGUGUAAUCGCUUAGGUUUUAAUCAUUUAGUGAAAAUAUGGAAGAUGCGUCCACAAAUCUGUUGUAUUUUCAUUUUUUUUGUAAAACCGAGAUGGCUUGUUUCGGGAAUUAUUUUUGAACUGACUGAUCUUUGUGCAGUUCGAUGCAUUGGUUGCUGCACUUCCAUUAUCUGAGGGAGGGGAAGAAGUUCAAUUGAAAAAAAUUGCAGAACUCCAGGUUCGAGUUACGAGUUCUUUAUCUUCAUUGCCAAUUACUUGAUAUAGUACUAACUCAUUUAGCUCCUAAAUUUGGAGGGGCAAAAAGGCAUUCAAGUGAAAAAAUGUAGCUGCUAGGUUUUGGUAUUUUGAUGAGAAUUGAAAUUUUCUCAAAAGUUGGAGACAUGAUAACUGGUUAUUGUCAAGGUUGCUGAUAUUAUCCCUAAUCUAACAAUGUUGUAAAGGCUGAAGAUGAACAAUCUCCUGAUAAUUGUUUUUCAUUUUUGUCGAUGUUGGGUAAUAUACAUUUCAUAGAGAUGUCCAAAUCUCUCUUUUGUUCAUGUAAUUGGUAAGUAUUAUCAAGCUUCACUAAUCUAAAAAAGAAUCUCUCGGCAGGCUGAAAAUGACGCAAUAGGCCAAGAACUUCAAAAGCAAUUAGAAGCUGCAGGUAAGAUCUUCAAACUUGGCGUUAGUGUGAUAAGAAUUACAAAUUCCGCCAGGCUAAGAUUCUACUGAAUAGUUAUUCUAAGACCUGAAACUUGAUGCUUCAUGUAAUGGUAUCUCCUUUUGUCAAUAGAUUAAUAACUACACAUGUAGAGUUGCAUGCCUAUGCUGAAAUUACGUGUGAGCAAAUGGUUUAUAUGGUACGUUUCAUAUUGGUUUGGAUUUUUGGGUUUUAUAGGAAGCAUACGAGCUGAAUUUUGUUACCUAAACGGUUAAACCUAACUGAACUUUAAAAAAUUGCCUGGUUCAGUUCAACGUAAUUUUCUCCUGUUUUUCCUUAAAGAAAGUAAUGUUCAAGUACUCUCCAAUUCCAAAGCCCCAUACCCUUUUGCCCCUGCCACAGGCCUCAAUAGCGCCUGACCGUAAUCUUCUUCAACUCUUUCUAUAUAAACUCAUAAUUUAGUACCAUCUGUUGAUUACUUGGUUUGUUUCAGAAUCUAACUGAACCAGAACUAUAUUUGUUUAUUUGGUUCAAACUUAAGGAAACCAUACUGUAAAAACUAAAUAAGGAAAAAAAGAAAGUAUUCAGUUUUAUAUUAAGUUGUGCUCAAUCUUAGCUGAAACUAUGUUGCUGAUGUGCCAGAAAAAGAACUAAAGCAGGUACAGGAGUUGUUCAGCCAAGCAACGGAUAACUGCUUGAACUUGAAGAAACCAGACUGAUGCAACGGAUACCCCAACUGGAUGACCAAGAAAAUAGAGCGGCGGUUUCACUCGUCUCUGUACCGCAGUAUAUGUUCUUGGUCAGUCAGUUUCAUGAUUAUCUAUUGAAACUGUCCUAACUGAGAAGCAUAGUUCUCCGUAAUGUGAUAAGCCUUAAACCAUAUGAUGAAGCGCUAGUUACUUGAACUUUCAGAUUUGUUAUUACACUGAACCUAUAUCGGAACUCUGAUGAUUCUUCUACACAUUAGUCCAUGGAUUAGCAUCGUCCAAAUCAGUGAUUGUUGCAACGGCUAUUCAGAGGUUGCACCAAAUCCCC